Molecule: ribosomal RNA, 1291 nt
Filed under: Salmonella enterica
Lineage: Bacteria; Pseudomonadati; Pseudomonadota; Gammaproteobacteria; Enterobacterales; Enterobacteriaceae
Also listed under: 1 other name
Description: partial 23S ribosomal RNA
Rfam family: Bacterial large subunit ribosomal RNA
Source: RNAcentral
CCAGGUAAAUCCGGUUCACUUUAACACUGAGGCGUGACGACGAGGCACUACGGUGCUGAAGCAACAAAUGCCCUGCUUCCAGGAAAAGCCUCUAAGCAUCAGGUAACAUCAAAUCGUACCCCAAACCGACACAGGUGGUCAGGUAGAGAAUACCAAGGCGCUUGAGAGAACUCGGGUGAAGGAACUAGGCAAAAUGGUGCCGUAACUUCGGGAGAAGGCACGCUGACACGUAGGUGAAGUGAUUUACUCAUGGAGCUGAAGUCAGUCGAAGAUACCAGCUGGCUGCAACUGUUUAUUAAAAACACAGCACUGUGCAAACACGAAAGUGGACGUAUACGGUGUGACGCCUGCCCGGUGCCGGAAGGUUAAUUGAUGGGGUCAGCGCAAGCGAAGCUCCUGAUCGAAGCCCCGGUAAACGGCGGCCGUAACUAUAACGGUCCUAAGGUAGCGAAAUUCCUUGUCGGGUAAGUUCCGACCUGCACGAAUGGCGUAAUGAUGGCCAGGCUGUCUCCACCCGAGACUCAGUGAAAUUGAACUCGCUGUGAAGAUGCAGUGUACCCGCGGCAAGACGGAAAGACCCCGUGAACCUUUACUAUAGCUUGACACUGAACAUUGAGCCUUGAUGUGUAGGAUAGGUGGGAGGCUUUGAAGUGUGGACGCCAGUCUGCAUGGAGCCGACCUUGAAAUACCACCCUUUAAUGUUUGAUGUUCUAACGUGGACCCGUAAUCCGGGUUGCGGACAGUGUCUGGUGGGUAGUUUGACUGGGGCGGUCUCCUCCUAAAGAGUAACGGAGGAGCACGAAGGUUGGCUAAUCCUGGUCGGACAUCAGGAGGUUAGUGCAAUGGCAUAAGCCAGCUUGACUGCGAGCGUGACGGCGCGAGCAGGUGCGAAAGCAGGUCAUAGUGAUCCGGUGGUUCUGAAUGGAAGGGCCAUCGCUCAACGGAUAAAAGGUACUCCGGGGAUAACAGGCUGAUACCGCCCAAGAGUUCAUAUCGACGGCGGUGUUUGGCACCUCGAUGUCGGCUCAUCACAUCCUGGGGCUGAAGUAGGUCCCAAGGGUAUGGCUGUUCGCCAUUUAAAGUGGUACGCGAGCUGGGUUUAGAACGUCGUGAGACAGUUCGGUCCCUAUCUGCCGUGGGCGCUGGAGAACUGAGGGGGGCUGCUCCUAGUACGAGAGGACCGGAGUGGACGCAUCACUGGUGUUCGGGUUGUCAUGCCAAUGGCACUGCCCGGUAGCUAAAUGCGGAAGAGAUAAGUGCUGAAAGCAUCUAAGCACGAAACUUGCCCCGA